UGCUGUGAUGUCGUAAUUUGCGUCUUACUCUGUACUUGGCGACAGUUGCCUGCUGUCAUCCAGCCGAGGCAGAUGGUUGAUGAGCAGCUAACUCUGAGCA
This is a small nucleolar RNA of Euleptes europaea (tarantolino), 100 nucleotides long. RefSeq annotates it as small nucleolar RNA SNORD16. The transcript has a single exon. The record is from RefSeq and is a predicted model, not a curated record. NCBI's taxonomy places the organism in Eukaryota, Metazoa, Chordata, Lepidosauria, Squamata, Sphaerodactylidae.